This 253-nucleotide ribosomal RNA is filed under the name uncultured bacterium. RNAcentral's name for it is "partial 16S ribosomal RNA". It matches the Rfam family "Bacterial small subunit ribosomal RNA", at positions 524 to 776 of the family's 1533-position model. The record is from RNAcentral.
GACGAACCGUGCGAACGUUGUUCGGAAUCACUGGGCUUAAAGGGCGCGUAGGCGGGCUGCCAAGUCUGUGGUGAAAUCCUCCAGCUUAACUGGAGAACGGCCGUGGAUACUGGCGGUCUCGAGGGAGAUAGGGGCAAGUGGAACUGUGCGUGGAGCGGUGAAAUGCGUUGAUAUGCACAGGAACUCCGGUGGCGAAGGCGACUUGCUGGGUCUCUUCUGACGCUGAUGCGCGAAAGCUAGGGGAGCGAACGGG